This 851-nucleotide ribosomal RNA is filed under the name Penicillium chrysogenum. RNAcentral describes it as "eukaryotic LSU rRNA". It matches the Rfam family "Eukaryotic large subunit ribosomal RNA", at positions 24 to 903 of the family's 3401-position model. Lineage: Eukaryota; Fungi; Ascomycota; Eurotiomycetes; Eurotiales; Aspergillaceae. The record is from RNAcentral.
CCCCCAAAAACCAUAGGGAGGAAAGAAACCAACAGGGAUGCCCCAGUAACGGCGAGUGAAGCGGCAAGAGCUCAAAUUUGAAAGCUGGCUCCUUCGGGGUCCGCAUUGUAAUUUGUAGAGGAUGCUUCGGGAGCGGUCCCCAUCUAAGUGCCCUGGAACGGGACGUCAUAGAGGGUGAGAAUCCCGUAUGGGAUGGGGUGUCCGCGCCCGUGUGAAGCUCCUUCGACGAGUCGAGUUGUUUGGGAAUGCAGCUCUAAAUGGGUGGUAAAUUUCAUCUAAAGCUAAAUAUUGGCCGGAGACCGAUAGCGCACAAGUAGAGUGAUCGAAAGAUGAAAAGCACUUUGAAAAGAGAGUUAAAAAGCACGUGAAAUUGUUGAAAGGGAAGCGCUUGCGACCAGACUCGCUCGCGGGGUUCAGCCGGCAUUCGUGCCGGUGUACUUCCCCGCGGGCGGGCCAGCGUCGGUUUGAGCGGUCGGUCAAAGGCCCUCGGAAGGUAACGCCCCUAGGGGCGUCUUAUAGCCGAGGGUGCAAUGCGACCUGCCUAGACCGAGGAACGCGCUUCGGCUCGGACGCUGGCAUAAUGGUCGUAAACGACCCGUCUUGAAACACGGACCAAGGAGUCUAACAUCUACGCGAGUGUUCGGGUGUCAAACCCGUGCGCGAAGUGAAAGCGAACGGAGGUGGGAACCCUCACGGGUGCACCAUCGACCGAUCCUGAAGUCUUCGGAUGGAUUUGAGUAAGAGCGUAGCUGUUGGGACCCGAAAGAUGGUGAACUAUGCCUGAAUAGGGCGAAGCCAGAGGAAACUCUGGUGGAGGCUCGUAGCGGUUCCUGACGGUGCCAAAAAUUGCC